RNAcentral lists this unclassified non-coding RNA (240 nucleotides) under soil metagenome. RNAcentral describes it as "partial contains 5.8S ribosomal RNA, internal transcribed spacer 2, and large subunit ribosomal RNA". The record is from RNAcentral.
AAGACUAUAGACCUGCGGAGUACCUGCGGAAGGAUCAUUACAGGACUCGCAAGACUCCUACAACCCUGUGAACUUAACUAUAAGCACGUUGCUUCGGCGGGUGUCUCGGCGAGGGUUCUCCCUCCCCGGGGCGCUAAGCCCGCCGGCAGCCUACUAUACUCUGUCUCUUUGCGUUGGCAUCUCGAGUACAAACAAACAAGUUAAAACUUUUAACAAUGGAUCUCUAGAUCGGAAGAGCAC